RNAcentral lists this ribosomal RNA (532 nucleotides) under Duganella alba. Its description in RNAcentral is "bacterial SSU rRNA". It matches the Rfam family "Bacterial small subunit ribosomal RNA", at positions 464 to 996 of the family's 1533-position model. The record is from RNAcentral. Lineage: Bacteria; Pseudomonadati; Pseudomonadota; Betaproteobacteria; Burkholderiales; Oxalobacteraceae.
GGCUCAUGACGGUACCUGAAGAAUAAGCACCGGCUAACUACGUGCCAGCAGCCGCGGUAAUACGUAGGGUGCAAGCGUUAAUCGGAAUUACUGGGCGUAAAGCGUGCGCAGGCGGUUUUGUAAGUCUGUUGUGAAAUCCCCGGGCUCAACCUGGGAAUGGCAAUGGAGACUGCAAGGCUAGAGUUUGGCAGAGGGGGGUAGAAUUCCACGUGUAGCAGUGAAAUGCGUAGAUAUGUGGAGGAACACCGAUGGCGAAGGCAGCCCCCUGGGUCAAAACUGACGCUCAUGCACGAAAGCGUGGGGAGCAAACAGGAUUAGAUACCCUGGUAGUCCACGCCCUAAACGAUGUCUACUAGUUGUCGGGUCUUAAUUGACUUGGUAACGCAGCUAACGCGUGAAGUAGACCGCCUGGGGAGUACGGUCGCAAGAUUAAAACUCAAAGGAAUUGACGGGGACCCGCACAAGCGGUGGAUGAUGUGGAUUAAUUCGAUGCAACGCGAAAAACCUUACCUACCCUUGACAUGUACGGAAG